Molecule: long non-coding RNA, 686 nt
Organism: Calliphora vicina (urban bluebottle blowfly)
Lineage: Eukaryota; Metazoa; Arthropoda; Insecta; Diptera; Calliphoridae
Exons: 2
Source: RefSeq, a predicted model, not a curated record
AUUAGAUACUUUUGUAGAUGCGUAUCUAUGUUUGAAGUAGAUUUUCCAAUUAUCUAUUUAUCAACCCUUUAGCUUACAACAGCAUUUGCACACGGCCCAUUUCUAAAACUUAGUACGCAGUUAAUUUUAAUUAUGUAGGGGUCGUGUGCAAUUUAUUGUUACUUACUUACCAUAAUGUGGUGUAGAGUGGCUACUUCGUAAUUGCACACCACCCUACUCAGCUUAAUUUUUGGACAAAUCUCUGGUAGAAUUGUAGUGUGCUGAAAAGUGUUUAACAAAAAACAUAUCUAUAAAACCACUUACACUCAAAACAAAAACAUCAGUCAGUACUAAAAGUUGCUUAAACAACAACAUCUGAAGUCUAUAUUUCUUGUGAAAAAACUUAAAAACAAACUAUCAAACAAAAUGCCUUGCCCCUGCGGAACUGGUUGCAAAUGCACUUCCCAAAACCAAACUGGCAAAUGCGGUUGCGGUACCUCAUGCAAAUGCGGAUCCAGCAAGUAAAUUUCGUUGCUGCUUUAAUUGGACCGUAUAACAAUUAAUUAAAAUUUUAAUUUUCUCAAAAUUUUGUUGUGAUCAAUCUUUUACAUAUCAAAUGUAUUAAUUAAUUUAAGUAAAAUUUAUUUAUUUGGCUUUAAUAUUCUUACUUUUUGACCAAAUAUGAAAUAAAAAUCAUUAAAAUCUAA